AACGAACGCUGGCGGCAGGCCUAACACAUGCAAGUCGAGCGGGCGUAGCAAUACGUCAGCGGCGGACGGGUGAGUAACACGUGGGAAUAUGCCUUUCGGUUUGGAACAACUCGGGGAAACCCGUGCUAAUUCCGGAUACGCCCUUAGGGGGAAGGAUUUAUCGCCGAAAGAUUAGCCCGCGUCCGAUUAGCUAGUUGGUGAGGUAACGGCCCACCAAGGCGACGAUCGGUAGCUGGUUUGAGAGAACGACCAGCCACACUGGGACUGAGACACGGCCCAGACUCCUACGGGAGGCAGCAGUGGGGAAUCUUGGACAAUGGGAGGAAACUCUGAUCCAGCCAUGCCGCGUGAGUGAUGAAGGCCUUCGGUUG
RNAcentral lists this ribosomal RNA (371 nucleotides) under uncultured bacterium. RNAcentral's name for it is "bacterial SSU rRNA". It matches the Rfam family "Bacterial small subunit ribosomal RNA", at positions 29 to 425 of the family's 1533-position model. The record is from RNAcentral.